RNAcentral lists this ribosomal RNA (497 nucleotides) under uncultured bacterium. Its description in RNAcentral is "partial 16S ribosomal RNA". It matches the Rfam family "Bacterial small subunit ribosomal RNA", at positions 28 to 507 of the family's 1533-position model. The record is from RNAcentral.
GAUGAACGCUGGCGGCGUGCCUAAUACAUGCAAGUCGAGCGAACGGACGAGAAGCUUGCUGCUCUGAUGUUAGCGGCGGACGGGUGAGUAACACGUGGAUAACCUACCUAUAUGACUGGGAUAACUUCGGGAAACCGUAGCUAAUACCGGAUAAUAUUUUGAACCGCAUGGUUCAAGAGUGAAAUUCGGUCUUGCUUUCACUUAUAGAUGGUUCCGCGCUGCAUUAGCUAGUUGGUAAGGUAACGGCUUACCAAGGCAAGGAUGCAUAGCCGACCUGAGAGGGUGGUCGGCCACACGGGAGGUGAGACGGGGACCCGACGCCUGCGGGAGGCAGCAGUAGGGAAUCGUACGCAACGGGGGAGAGCCUGACGGAGCAACGGCGCGUGAGUGAUGAAGGUGUUCGGAUCGGGAAACUCUGUUGCUAGGGGAGAACAUAUGUGUAAGUAACUGUGCAGAUAUUGACGGUACCUGAACAGAAAGCACCGGCUAACUACGUG